AGUUAAUCGAUGCUGAAUAUCGUUUGUGAGAGUCAUCUUAUCAUAUGCUGGCUUGCUGUGACACUUCAAUAUGGCCUUGAGUGGUCAUUGACGCAAGUAGGAUGGCGGCCAAUGUUUCCCAGGCUCAGCUUUUGGGUAAAAGGACCUCACGUGGUGAUGCUGAUCCGCCUUUGAAGCGAAUUUUAAGAGAACAUGAAGAUACGAAUAGCACAACAGGAAUUCAAUCGAAAGAAGCUAUUGUUGGUGACAACUCACGCAAUCAUUGCAUCGAGGCUGAGCUGCACCCAGCAUGUAACCCAAUCACUUGGAAAAAUGGUGACCCACCAUGCUGUAGGGAACUUGUGCUGUACAGCAUAUUGCAGACCAGCUUCCCCACAAACUCGUUUAGAGCGCGGGACGCAGCAUUGCUGGCCUUUGAACGUGCAGUGAACGGUGCAAAUCGAAUUUUGAAUUGC
Sycon ciliatum is the source of this 455-nucleotide long non-coding RNA. RefSeq lists it as uncharacterized. The record is from RefSeq and is a predicted model, not a curated record. The transcript has 3 exons. Lineage: Eukaryota; Metazoa; Porifera; Calcarea; Leucosolenida; Sycettidae.